GUCCCCUUCGUCUAGAGAUCUAGGACAUCGCCCUUUCACGGCGGCAGCAGGGGUUCAAAUCCCCUAGGGGACGA
This 74-nucleotide transfer RNA is filed under the name Buchnera aphidicola. RNAcentral's name for it is "tRNA-Glu". It matches the Rfam family "tRNA". Rfam says of the family: Transfer RNA (tRNA) molecules are approximately 80 nucleotides in length. The record is from RNAcentral. Lineage: Bacteria; Pseudomonadati; Pseudomonadota; Gammaproteobacteria; Enterobacterales; Erwiniaceae.